AUGAUUGCAUGGGGAGAGCGCGCAUUGGGCGCCGCCGAAGGAGCAAGUAACGAAUGUUAUGAAUCUCUCAGGUAAAAAAACGCAUGCAGGACG
RNAcentral lists this non-coding RNA (93 nucleotides) under Sporosarcina newyorkensis. RNAcentral describes it as "Glycine sequence". It matches the Rfam family "Glycine riboswitch aptamer". From Rfam's summary of the family: This family represents the bacterial glycine riboswitch. Glycine riboswitches usually consist of two metabolite-binding aptamers domains with similar structures in tandem. Lineage: Bacteria; Bacillati; Bacillota; Bacilli; Caryophanales; Caryophanaceae. The record is from RNAcentral.